AGUUACUGGCCUGGGGCAGGUUUCGUCUUGAAAAUGAAACAGAAGUGUUCGAAUCACUUAGUAGCUU
RNAcentral lists this transfer RNA (67 nucleotides) under Haliotis virginea. RNAcentral's name for it is "tRNA-Ser". Lineage: Eukaryota; Metazoa; Mollusca; Gastropoda; Lepetellida; Haliotidae. The record is from RNAcentral.